This 417-nucleotide ribosomal RNA is filed under the name Klebsiella quasivariicola. RNAcentral describes it as "bacterial SSU rRNA". It matches the Rfam family "Bacterial small subunit ribosomal RNA", at positions 1087 to 1504 of the family's 1533-position model. The record is from RNAcentral. Lineage: Bacteria; Pseudomonadati; Pseudomonadota; Gammaproteobacteria; Enterobacterales; Enterobacteriaceae.
CCGCAACGAGCGCAACCCUUAUCCUUUGUUGCCAGCGGUUAGGCCGGGAACUCAAAGGAGACUGCCAGUGAUAAACUGGAGGAAGGUGGGGAUGACGUCAAGUCAUCAUGGCCCUUACGACCAGGGCUACACACGUGCUACAAUGGCAUAUACAAAGAGAAGCGACCUCGCGAGAGCAAGCGGACCUCAUAAAGUAUGUCGUAGUCCGGAUUGGAGUCUGCAACUCGACUCCAUGAAGUCGGAAUCGCUAGUAAUCGUAGAUCAGAAUGCUACGGUGAAUACGUUCCCGGGCCUUGUACACACCGCCCGUCACACCAUGGGAGUGGGUUGCAAAAGAAGUAGGUAGCUUAACCUUCGGGAGGGCGCUUACCACUUUGUGAUUCAUGACUGGGGUGAAGUCGUAACAAGGUAACCGUA